This is a long non-coding RNA of Ailuropoda melanoleuca (giant panda), 2364 nucleotides long. RefSeq lists it as uncharacterized. The transcript is spliced from 5 exons. The record is from RefSeq and is a predicted model, not a curated record. NCBI's taxonomy places the organism in Eukaryota, Metazoa, Chordata, Mammalia, Carnivora, Ursidae.
AGAGUAUGGAAGGGCGGGGGAAGGAGAAUGCUCGGCGCCUGCGCACUAGCCCGAAGCCGCGGAUCGGCCGGCAGAGACCGAAGGUAGAGGACCUGGCGCGUGCGGGGGGGAAAAGGCGGGAAACGGAAGCAGCUCGAGGCUCGCGCAUGCGCAUACGGUCAACUGCCCACGGGGCGCCGGAGAAGAUACCGCGUUGGUGUGUGGAGCGCAUUCCUUGAGACUGGGUUCUGGAACCUAGAGAAACAGCUCUAUAUCCUCAGCGCCAGAAAACGCAGACCUCAAACCCUCCCUUUCUAUCCUGCCCCUCCUCGCUUCCCUCCUAAAGCACAGGAGCAGCCCUGGCUCUGAGAGACACCAUUACUCUCUUCUCAGCCAUGACAGAGAUGGCCCAGCCCUUCCGGGAGGGACAGGCCUCUGAGCCGAGGCCACCGUUGCCGGCCCUUUGGACGACCAGGAGGUACGGGAGCCCUCAGCUUCUUGAUUAGGGCUGCCUUGCCUCCCCUCAGGCUGGUUCAACAAGUAGCCCCUCAUUCCAUGGAUGGGACUUUGCGUGCCCCUUUCUGCCUGAGCGCCGUGGAGCUAGAGCCUGCCUCCCAGGGGCACCAUUGCCUGCGUCAGCGGAGUCCCGGGCCCGGCCCCCUCUGACACUGCUCCCCGCAACUCUCCCUUCGUCCAGCCUCCACCUUGCCUGAGACUUCGGCAGACCCCGCAGCCCCUCUCCCACGCCCCACGCCACCCUUCCUGAGAACUCAACCCCAAGGCCACCGAGCCUGGCUGGACUGGGGGCCGCCUGGCAGAGGAGUAAGUGCCUCCCUGUCGGCCCGGGGCGACCUGGAGAGCUCAGGGAUCCCUGAGGUCCGAUUUUCCACCUAGCGGGCAUGGAAAUGCCGCGAGGAUGAGGAAACUGAGGCCCAGAGAGAGCAAAUUAGGUGCCCAAGUUCACUAAGGAAGACUUUGAGAGCUCUCAGAACUGGACAGGAGUGGUUGAUGCUGGAACAGCAGAUGCAGGAGAGAGGGGCAGGAGUCCAGCUCCCUGUACUGUCUUGACUCUCCUUCUCAGGAGCACAGUGACCACGGAAGAUUUCAGCCACAUAGGACUUGGAUGCUUCCAUCAGCGCUCCACUAUAGUAUCUGACUGACGCCCACCCUGCUUCUCACGUAAAGAAUCCAAGGCACAGAAACAUUACAAGUAGCUUGCCUGAAAUCUCAAAGUAGGUCCUCAGGAGCAGGACCACCAGUGCAGGUAGUCCGGUUCCAGAACGUGCCUUCCUCAAUAACACGGUCUCUGGUAAGUCAUCCAAAGCGGCCACGGGAACUCUGCUGCUUCGUAUCUGCAUGCCUGUGUACCACUGGCUUGCCCUUCUGCCUGUAAUACUUUUCCUUAAAGACUCUGGUCAAGGGAGGAUGCUCCAUCUUCUUGGACUUCUUUUGCCUGUCCUGGGGGCAGUCACUGUCCUUGGAGCUUGACUGCACUUUGUCAGAUUUUGUUAAACUACACAGUAGUGUAUUUUGUGGAAUAUCUGAUUCCUUGUGUUAUAAGCUUCUGGAGAGCAGUGACUUUUUUUUUUUCUGGAAAAUUUCAAACAGUUGCAAAAGUAAAGGUAAUAAUAAAGUGAAUCUGCACGCACUCAUCAUGCAGCUUCAGCAAUUAUUUUGUGGCUGGUAUUACUUCAUUUAUACUCCUCUCCUCAAACCUGGAUUAUUUUGAAGCAAAUUUCAGACAUCAGAUAAUUUCAUUAAGAUUACAAUUGUAUUACUAAAAUAUAUCUUUACAAAAACAUAACCACAAUACCAUUAUUGCACUAAAAAUUAAUACUUCCUCAAUGUCAUAAAAUAUUCACUGUUCUAAUUUCUGCAAUUAUAAUUUUCCCCCUGCCUUCCCUUCUCUCUCCUUCUAGCCUUUUUUGUUCCUUUAUUUCUUUUUUUGUCUACACCUCUUUAAAAAAAAAAAAAAAGCAGAGUAGUUUGAAUAAAAAUCCAAGUAAGGGCUUUAUUUUUUAGUCUUCAUGUUCUCAUCAGCACCUGGCUUAGUGCUUGACAUAUAGAAAUCCUCAGUAAAUGUUUAGUAAGUGAAUGACUCAUUAGAAAUCUAUAAAAUGUCCUAGUUGAAUGAGUGUAGCCUUACUGUUAGGUAAUAUCUGGUUGGUUUCUUGGGAUGGCUUUUGGUUUCUGGUACUUUAGUUAGGGAUUAACUUAGAUGCUGGCUAUUAUCAGCUAUUACUAAAGGUUUGAGGACAGUGAGUGUGUCUGUGACUCAGACAUUUACAUGCUAGAAGGAAAUGCACUGGGCUCUCUUGUCUCUGCUUUUUGUCCUUGGUCUCUAUUCCACUUUGAGUUUGAACUGACCAUGUUUGGCUUUUUUGU